GGUCUUUUGAUUUUAAUUUAAGAUCAGACCUGCCCAUUGAUUUUUAUGAAUUAAAAGGCUGCGGUAUUUUAACUGUACGAAGGUAGCAUAAUCAUUUGUCUUUUAAUUGAAGGCUAGUAUGAAUGGUUUGAUGAAAGAUAAACUUUCUUUUUUUAAUUAUUUUGAACUUAAUUUUUUAGUUAAAAAGCUAAAAUUUUUUUAUAGGACGAGAAGACCCUAUAGAAGUUUACUUUAUUUAUUAAUUAUUGUUUUUUGUUUAUUAAACAAUUUUUUAGAAUAUAAAGUUUUGUUGGGGUGACAUUAAAAUUUAUUUAACUUUUAAUAUUUUAUUCAUUAAUUUAUGUUUUUUUGAUCCAGAAUUUUUGAUUAUAAGAUUAACUUACCUUAGGGAUAACAGCGUAAUUUUUUCGGAGAGUUCAUAUC
RNAcentral lists this ribosomal RNA (423 nucleotides) under Gerris sahlbergi. Its description in RNAcentral is "partial 16S ribosomal RNA". The record is from RNAcentral. Lineage: Eukaryota; Metazoa; Arthropoda; Insecta; Hemiptera; Gerridae.